CUCCUACGGGAGGCAGCAGUGGGGAAUUUUUGGACAAUGGGGGCAACCCUGAUCCAGCAAUGCCGCGUGUGUGAAGAAGGCCUUCGGGUUGUAAAGCACUUUUGUCAGGAACGAAACGGUUUAGGCUAAUAUCCUGAGCUAAUGACGGUACCUGAAGAAUAAGCACCGGCUAACUACGUGCCAGCAGCCGUGGUAAUUC
RNAcentral lists this ribosomal RNA (199 nucleotides) under uncultured bacterium. RNAcentral describes it as "partial 16S ribosomal RNA". It matches the Rfam family "Bacterial small subunit ribosomal RNA", at positions 336 to 526 of the family's 1533-position model. The record is from RNAcentral.